Long non-coding RNA from Bombina bombina (fire-bellied toad), 417 nucleotides. RefSeq lists it as uncharacterized. Lineage: Eukaryota; Metazoa; Chordata; Amphibia; Anura; Bombinatoridae. The record is from RefSeq and is a predicted model, not a curated record. The transcript has 2 exons.
GGGGAGGGGGGAGUGUCUUAUUUGCCACUUGCAGUGGGCUUUCCAGCUACCUUUUCAACAGAGCCAAACUAACAGCUUCUAAGAGCCAGCAAUCAUUAAAGAUCUACACAUUGCUAUACAAUGGGUUGUCAAGAAUGAGGCACUGUUCUGUGGGCGCAUAACCAUGUUAUGUGUCAAUGAAUGAAGAUGACCGCCAGAAGGCCAUAGAUAACGUGAUGCAAAGAGAAGAACCAGAAGCAAUGGGGCCAUUCCUCUUUGUAUUUCAGCACAGAGAAGAUAUGGAGUUGUUUUUGCAGUCUUGACCAACAUGACCUCCAAGUUAAUGCCAUGUUCAACAAAUGACUGAAGGACAAGGGGUGGUGGUGUGUUUCUGUUUAAAUUAUUGAUAAUAAUAAAAAAAUAAGAUAAUUAACACCA